AUGAACGCUGGCGGCGUGCCUAAUACAUGCAAGUCGAGCGAACAGAUGAGGAGCUUGCUCCUCUGACGUUAGCGGCGGACGGGUGAGUAACACGUGGAUAACCUACCUAUAAGACUGGGAUACUUCGGGAAACCGGAGCUAAUACCGGAUAAUAUAUUGAACCGCAUGGUUCAAUAGUGAAAGACGGUUUUGCUGUCACUUAUAGAUGGAUCCGCGCCGCAUUAGCUAGUUGGUAAGGUAACGGCUUACCAAGGCAACGAUGCGUAGCCGACCUGAGAGGGUGAUCGGCCACACUGGAACUGAGACACGGUCCAGACUCCUACGGGAGGCGGCAGUAGGGAAUCUUCCGCAAAGGGCGAAAGCCUGACGGAGCAACGCCGCGUGAGUGAUGAAGGUCUUCGGAUCGUAAAACUCUGUUAUUAGGGAAGAACAAAUGUGUAAGUAACUAUGCACGUCUUGACGGUACCUAAUCAGAAAGCCACGGCUAACUACGUG
RNAcentral lists this ribosomal RNA (495 nucleotides) under uncultured bacterium. RNAcentral's name for it is "partial 16S ribosomal RNA". It matches the Rfam family "Bacterial small subunit ribosomal RNA", at positions 29 to 507 of the family's 1533-position model. The record is from RNAcentral.